GACGAACGCUGGCGGCGUGCUUAACACAUGCAAGUCGAACGGGAUUUAGUAGACAGAAGCCUCGGUGGAAGAUUACUAAUGAGAGUGGCGAACGGGUGAGUAACGCGUGAGCAACCUGCCUAUGACAGUGGGAUAGCCUCGGGAAACCGGGAUUAAUACCGCAUAAAAUCGUAGAAACACAUGUUUUAACGGUCAAAGAUUUAUCGGUCAUAGAUGGGCUCGCGUCUGAUUAGCUAGUUGGUGAGAUAACAGCCCACCAAGGCGACGAUCAGUAGCCGGUCUGAGAGGAUGAACGGCCACAUUGGAACUGAGACACGGUCCAAACUCCUACGGGAGGCAGCAGUGGGGAAUAUUGCACAAUGGGGGAAACCCUGAUGCAGCGACGCCGCGUGAACGAAGAAGGUAUUCGUAUCGUAAAGUUCUGUCCUAUGGGAAGAUAA
This 440-nucleotide ribosomal RNA is filed under the name Finegoldia sp. oral taxon D24. RNAcentral's name for it is "bacterial SSU rRNA". It matches the Rfam family "Bacterial small subunit ribosomal RNA", at positions 28 to 451 of the family's 1533-position model. The record is from RNAcentral. Lineage: Bacteria; Bacillati; Bacillota; Tissierellia; Tissierellales; Peptoniphilaceae.